CAUUAAGAAGCUAAUACAGCAUUAACCUUUUAAGUUGAAGAUUGAAGGUACCCAACCCCUCCUUAAUGA
This 69-nucleotide transfer RNA is filed under the name Mydaus javanensis (Sunda stink badger). Its description in RNAcentral is "tRNA-Lys". It matches the Rfam family "tRNA". From Rfam's summary of the family: Transfer RNA (tRNA) molecules are approximately 80 nucleotides in length. Their secondary structure includes four short double-helical elements and three loops (D, anti-codon, and T loops). Further hydrogen bonds mediate the characteristic L-shaped molecular structure. tRNAs have two regions of fundamental functional importance: the anti-codon, which is responsible for specific mRNA codon recognition, and the 3' end, to which the tRNAs corresponding amino acid is attached (by aminoacyl-tRNA synthetases). tRNAs cope with the degeneracy of the genetic code in two manners: having more than one tRNA (with a specific anti-codon) for a particular amino acid; and 'wobble' base-pairing, i.e. permitting non-standard base-pairing at the 3rd anti-codon position. Lineage: Eukaryota; Metazoa; Chordata; Mammalia; Carnivora; Mephitidae. The record is from RNAcentral.